RNAcentral lists this ribosomal RNA (126 nucleotides) under Cunninghamella bainieri. RNAcentral's name for it is "partial small subunit ribosomal RNA". It matches the Rfam family "Eukaryotic small subunit ribosomal RNA", at positions 1657 to 1779 of the family's 1831-position model. The record is from RNAcentral. Lineage: Eukaryota; Fungi; Mucoromycota; Mucoromycetes; Mucorales; Cunninghamellaceae.
CCUUUGUACACACCGCCCGUCGCUACUACCGAUUGAAUGGUCAUAGUGAGCAUGUGGGAUCUUUGAAGGCUAGUUGGCAACAACCGGCUUUUGAGGAGAACUAUGGCAAACUAGAUUAUUUAGAGG